GAAAAUGGCCAACUUUUGCUUGGCUAACAAAUGUUGUUGCCUUAUUGCUCCAUAUUAGUAAUAGGAAUUGUUAUAGUUAAUUUAAUUAAUGUUAUUGUUUGAGUUCUUGACAAAAUCUUUUAAUUUUUGAUGUUGAUUGUGAGUAAAUUGUCUUGUAUUUUCACUAGAUCGGAUUUGUUACUCGAGGAUUGGGACUUGGGUUAUUGCCUUUAGCCUUCAGGUUUUUUAAGGAUUUGUCACUUUGUGUUAUACGAAAAUUGUUAUUUUCGGUUUCUGGUUUUCGACGGGUGCCCUCACGGUCCGCUUGUCUUUGCUCACAUCGAAUUUAUUUGUUGUAACACUUUUUAUUGGUUUAUUGCACCUUCGGUGAAUCACU
RNAcentral lists this long non-coding RNA (376 nucleotides) under Salvia miltiorrhiza (redroot sage). RNAcentral describes it as "long non-coding RNA (SMIL_LNC008666)". Lineage: Eukaryota; Viridiplantae; Streptophyta; Magnoliopsida; Lamiales; Lamiaceae. The record is from RNAcentral.